Molecule: ribosomal RNA, 406 nt
Filed under: uncultured bacterium
Lineage: Bacteria
Description: partial 16S ribosomal RNA
Rfam family: Bacterial small subunit ribosomal RNA
Source: RNAcentral
AUUGAACGCUGGCGGCAUGCCUUACACAUGCAAGUCGAACGAGUGGCGGACGGGUGAGUAAUAUCUGGGAAACUGCCCGAUGGAGGGGGAUAACUACUGGAAACGGUAGCUAAUACCGCAUACCAUCGGAUGUGCCCAGAUGGGAUUAGCUAGUAGGUGGGGUAACGGCUCACCAAGGCGACGAUCCCUAGCUGGUCUGAGAGGAUGACCAGCCACACUGGAACGGAGACACGGUCCAGACUCCUACGGGAGGCAGCAGUGGGGAAUAUUGCACAAUGGGCGAAAGCCUGAUACAGCCAUGCCGCGUGUAUGAAGAAGGCCUUCGGGUUGUAAAGUACUUUCAGCGAGGAGGCGUUACCUGAAGAAGAAGCACCGGCUAACUCCGUGCCAGCAGCCGCGGUAAUUC